Long non-coding RNA from Pelodiscus sinensis (Chinese soft-shelled turtle), 998 nucleotides. RefSeq lists it as uncharacterized. Lineage: Eukaryota; Metazoa; Chordata; Testudines; Trionychidae. The record is from RefSeq and is a predicted model, not a curated record.
UUCAAUGUGGACAGCUCACAUCACAUCUUCCCAGAUGACCAUGCCGGCUUUCCAAGGCAAAGAAGCUCACGCACAGAGUACAAUGGGAUUGCUGGAUCGUAAGGUCAGUGAGGAGAGGAAGCUGAGCAGACUCAGUGCUGAUCCAGCCAUAGGCACUUUGACUUUCAUCCAUGCCAUUAGCAGUCUGCUGAUAGGAGGGGGCACAAAAGGGACACAGAGCAGAGAGACUCUAAGAUCAAGGGGGUGAGGCAGAUGUACCAGAAGUAAAAGAAGGCCAAUUGUCACUCUGGUGUGGUACUGAACGCAUGUCACUUCUACAAGGAGCUGCACACUGUCCUCCGUGGUAAUCCCAAAUCAGCUGCAGAGCACACCAGGAAUAAUUCGGGAGGGACCGGAGAUAGCAGACAAUGGAGUCAACCCCCAGGAUGAAGUAGUGGACAAAGAAGUUGAGCAGGAGGAGAAUGGAGAACAGGUGAUAGGCUCAUCCAAUGGUGUGGAGAGCCAGGACCCCUUUUUUACUCCAGAGUCUAGCUCUCACGUAUUUGAAGUUGGAGAGGGAAGCUCCAGAAACUUUGCUGCACAAUUGGUAAUUACUUCUGGAGGAACCAAAGCAUCUCACAGAUGUGCCCUUAAGAACCAGCUCCUACAUAGCCUGGAGCACCUCUGUCAGAUAAGAAGGCAAGGAAGGAGAAAUUAGGAAGAUAUGUUUUAUGAAUUGCUACAAUCACCAUAUCAGGCCAAGAGUGAGCACAGAGCAUGAAGGGAGACAGUAAAAUGAAACAAGAAAUGGGUAGCCAGUGAGAAGGCAGGAUCAGGAGCAGAGCGCUGCUGUGGCCAGGGUAGAAAUGCACUCCUCUGACCGCAGCAAGGCCAGAAGAGAGCUGCUGUGGCCCAAGGAAAAGCGCACUCUUCCAGCCCCAGUAGGAACUGCAGAGGCCAGGGAAGAGGGGCCUUGUAAGGGUUAAUUGCGGAAGAACUUUGUACAUGCUAGUUUAGGG